AGAGUUUGAUCAUGGCUCAGAUUGAACGCUGGCGGCAGGCCUAACACAUGCAAGUCGAACGGUAACAGGAAGCAGCUUGCUGCUUCGCUGACGAGUGGCGGACGGGUGAGUAAUGUCUGGGAAACUGCCUGAUGGAGGGGGAUAACUACUGGAAACGGUAGCUAAUACCGCAUAAUGUCGCAAGACCAAAGAGGGGGACCUUCGGGCCUCUUACCAUCGGAUGUGCCCAGAUGGGAUUAGCUUGUUGGUGGGGUAACGGCUCACCAAGGCGACGAUCCCUAGCUGGUCUGAGAGGAUGACCAGCCACACUGGAACUGAGACACGGUCCAGACUCCUACGGGAGGCAGCAGUGGGGAAUAUUGCACAAUGGGCGCAAGCCUGAUGCAGCCAUGCCGCGUGUAUGAAGAAGGCCUUCGGGUUGUAAAGUACUUUCAGCGGGGAGGAAGGGAGUAAAGUUAAUACCUUUGCUCAUUGACGUUAUCCGCAGAAGAAGCACCGGCUAACUCCGUGCCAGCAGCCGCGGUAAUACGGAGGGUGCAAGCGUUAAUCGGAAUUACUGGGCGUAAAGCGCACGCAGGCGGUUUGUUAAGUCAGAUGUGAAAUCCCCGGGCUCAACCUGGGAACUGCAUCUGAUACUGGCAAGCUUGAGUCUCGUAGAGGGGGUAGAAUUCCAGGUGUAGCGGUGAAAUGCGUAGAGAUCUGGAGGAAUACCGGUGGCGAAGGCGGCCCCCUGGACGAAGACUGACGCUCAGGUGCGAAAGCGUGGGGAGCAAACAGGAUUAGAUACCCUGGUAGUCCACGCCGUAAACGAUGUCGACUUGGAGGUUGUGCCCUUGAGGCAUGGCUUCCGGAGCUAACGCGUUAAGUCGACCGCCUGGGGAGUACGGCCGCAAGGUUAAAACUCAAAUGAAUUGACGGGGGCCCGCACAAGCGGUGGAGCAUGUGGUUUAAUUCGAUGCAACGCGAAGAACCUUACCUGGUCUUGACAUCCACGGAAGUUUUCAGAGAUGAGAAUGUGCCUUCGGGAACCGUGAGACAGGUGCUGCAUGGCUGUCGUCAGCUCGUGUUGUGAAAUGUUGGGUUAAGUCCCGCAACGAGCGCAACCCUUAUCCUUUGUUGCCAGCGGUCCGGCCGGGAACUCAAAGGAGACUGCCAGUGAUAAACUGGAGGAAGGUGGGGAUGACGUCAAGUCAUCAUGGCCCUUACGACCAGGGCUACACACGUGCUACAAUGGCGCAUACAAAGAGAAGCGACCUCGCGAGAGCAAGCGGACCUCAUAAAGUGCGUCGUAGUCCGGAUUGGAGUCUGCAACUCGACUCCAUGAAGUCGGAAUCGCUAGUAAUCGUGGAUCAGAAUGCCACGGUGAAUACGUUCCCGGGCCUUGUACACACCGCCCGUCACACCAUGGGAGUGGGUUGCAAAAGAAGUAGGUAGCUUAACCUUCGGGAGGGCGCUUACCACUUUGUGAUUCAUGACUGGGGUGAAGUCGUAACAAGGUAACCGUAGGGGAACCUGCGGUUG
This 1521-nucleotide ribosomal RNA is filed under the name Shigella boydii. RNAcentral describes it as "bacterial SSU rRNA". It matches the Rfam family "Bacterial small subunit ribosomal RNA". The record is from RNAcentral. Lineage: Bacteria; Pseudomonadati; Pseudomonadota; Gammaproteobacteria; Enterobacterales; Enterobacteriaceae.